AGCAGCCGCGGUAAUUCCAGCUCCAAUAGCGUAUAUUAAAGUUGUUGCAGUUAAAAAGCUCGUAGUUGAAUUUCGGGGUUAGUAGGUUGGUCAUGCCUCUGGUAUGUACUGGUCUCACUGAUUCCUCCUUCCUGAUGAACCUUAAUGCCAUUAAUUUGGUGUUUUGGGGAAUUUGGACUGUUACUUUGAAAAAUUAGAGUGUUUAAAGCAGGCAUUUUGCUCGAAUACAUUAGCAUGGAAUAAUAGAAUAGGACGGCAUGGUUCUAUUUUGUUGGUUUCUAGGAUCACCGUAAUGAUUAAUAGGGAUAGUUGGGGGCAUUAGUAUUCAAUUGUCAGAGGUGAAAUUCUUGGAUUUAUUGAAGACUAACUACUGCGAAAGCAUUUGCCAAGGAUGUUUUCAUUAAUCAAGAACGAAGUUAGGGGAUCGAAGACGAUCAGAUACCGUCGUAGUCUUAACCAUAAACUAUGCCGACUAGGGAUCGGAUGAUGUUAAUUUUUUAAUGACUCAUUCGGCGCCUUA
Molecule: unclassified non-coding RNA, 520 nt
Filed under: uncultured Glomus
Lineage: Eukaryota; Fungi; Glomeromycota; Glomeromycetes; Glomerales; Glomeraceae
Description: SSU rRNA
Rfam family: Eukaryotic small subunit ribosomal RNA
Source: RNAcentral